GAUGAAGAACGCAGCGAAAUGCGAUAAGUAAUGUGAAUUGCAGAAUCCAGUGAAUCAUCGAAUCUUUGAACGCACAUUGCGCCCGCCAGCAUUCUGGCGGGCAUGCCUGUCCGAGCGUCAUUACAACCCUCAAGCUCAGCUUGGUGUUGGGCCCCGCCGCCCCGGCGGGCCCUAAAGUCAGUGGCGGUGCCGUCCGGCUCCGAGCGUAGUAAUUCUUCUCGCUCUGGAGGUCCGGUCGUGUGCUCGCCAGCAACCCCCAAUUUUUUUCAGGUUGACCUCGGAUCAGGUAGGGAUACCCGCUGAACUUAAGCAUAUCAAUAAGCGGAGGA
RNAcentral lists this unclassified non-coding RNA (329 nucleotides) under soil metagenome. RNAcentral describes it as "partial contains 5.8S ribosomal RNA, internal transcribed spacer 2, and large subunit ribosomal RNA". The stretch from base 1 to 120 matches the Rfam family "5.8S ribosomal RNA", at positions 35 to 154 of the family's 154-position model. The record is from RNAcentral.